CCUACGGGUGGCAGCAGUGGGGAAUUUUGGGCAAUGGGCGCAAGCCUGACCCAGCAACGCCGCGUGAAGGAAGAAGGCUUUCGGGUUGUAAACUUCUUUUCUGAGGGACGAAGAGAGUGACGGUACCUAAGGAAUAAGCCACGGCUAACUACGGGCUAGCAGCCGCGGUAAUACGUAGGUGGCAAGCGUUAUGCGGAUUUAUUGGGUGUAAAGGGCGUGUAGGCGGGAAAGCAAGUCAGAUGUGGAAACUCAGGGCUUAACCCUGGGCCUGCAUUUGAAACUGUUUGGCUUGAGUGCGGGGGAGGCAAUCGGAAUUCCGGGUGUAGCGGUGAAAUGCGUAGAUAUACGGAGGAACACCAGUGGCGAAGGCGGAUUGCUGGACAGUAACUGACGCUGAGGUGCGAAAGCGUGGGGAGCAAACAGGAUUAGAUACCCCAGUAGUC
Molecule: ribosomal RNA, 443 nt
Filed under: uncultured bacterium
Lineage: Bacteria
Description: partial 16S ribosomal RNA
Rfam family: Bacterial small subunit ribosomal RNA
Source: RNAcentral